UGGGGAAUUUUGCACAAUGGGGGAAACCCUGAUGCAGCGACGCCGCGUGAUUUAGAAGGCCUUCGGGUUGUAAAAAUCUUUUGUAUGGGAAGAAAAUGACAGUACCUUACGAAUAAGGACCGGCUAAUUACGUGCCAGCAGCCGCGGUAAUACGUAAGGUCCGAGCGUUGUCCGGAAUCAUUGGGCGUAAAGGGUACGUAGGCGGAUAAGCAAGUUAGAAGUGAAAUCCUAUAGCUCAACUAUAGUAAGCUUUUAAAACUGCUCAUCUUGAGGUAUGGAAGGGAAAGUGGAAUUCCUAGUGUAGCGGUGAAAUGCGCAGAUAUUAGGAGGAAUACCGGUGGCGAAGGCGACUUUCUGGCCAUAUACUGACGCUGAGGUACGAAAGCGUGGGUAGCAAACAGG
Molecule: ribosomal RNA, 402 nt
Filed under: Verrucomicrobiota bacterium
Lineage: Bacteria; Pseudomonadati; Verrucomicrobiota
Description: Verrucomicrobia bacterium partial 16S ribosomal RNA
Rfam family: Bacterial small subunit ribosomal RNA
Source: RNAcentral